RNAcentral lists this ribosomal RNA (49 nucleotides) under Chaetothyriales sp. MACm13i. Its description in RNAcentral is "partial 28S ribosomal RNA". The record is from RNAcentral. Lineage: Eukaryota; Fungi; Ascomycota; Eurotiomycetes; Chaetothyriales.
UUGACCUCGGAUCAUGUAGGGAUACCCGCUGAACUUAAGCAUAUCAAUA